This is a non-coding RNA of Danio rerio (zebrafish), 365 nucleotides long. The record is from RefSeq and is a predicted model, not a curated record. NCBI's taxonomy places the organism in Eukaryota, Metazoa, Chordata, Actinopteri, Cypriniformes, Danionidae.
CUUGCGCUGACGAUGAGAAGGGUAAUCCUGCACAACUGGAGUGGCUGCACUCUCAGGACCGCAUUUUUAGGACCGCAUCUUUAGGACCCUAGUUUUUUGUGACAGCGUUACCUGUCGGAUUGGAUCAUGGAUGCGCUAAUGGACGACACGGAUGACAAGGAAAGUGCCAUCGUACAUCCUCUGGGUGUCUUGAGGAGCUGGUCUUUGGAUGAUGCUGAGCAGGUCUUUCUUUCUGGUAAAGAUUAUCAUUACAGGAGCUAAAGUCUACAGCCAGUCUGAAUGCAGCAACUGAAUAAACAGUGGAGUCAUUUUUGUGGUUGAAUUGCAUUAAUAAAAAUAAAAGUGUGGAUAUUUAUAUAAAUGUA